RNAcentral lists this ribosomal RNA (301 nucleotides) under uncultured bacterium. Its description in RNAcentral is "partial 16S ribosomal RNA". It matches the Rfam family "Bacterial small subunit ribosomal RNA", at positions 509 to 807 of the family's 1533-position model. The record is from RNAcentral.
CAGUCGCCACGGUAAUACGUAGGGUGCGAGCGUUAAUCGGAAUUACUGGGCGUAAAGCGUGCGCAGGCGGUUAUAUAAGACAGAUGUGAAAUCCCCGGGCUCAACCUGGGACCUGCAUUAGUGACUGUAUAGCUAGAGUACGGUAGAGGGGGAUGGAAUUCCGCGUGUAGCAGUGAAAUGCGUAGAUAUGCGGAGGAACACCGAUGGCGAAGGCAAUCCCCUGGACCUGUACUGACACUCAUGCACGAAAGCGUGGGGAGCAAACAGGAUUAGAUACCCCCGUAGUCCCUGUCUCUUAUAC